CGUGCAGGGCCAGCAUCGAGGCCUGAAUGCCCCGUUUCAGAUGGGAGGCCAGGCCUGCAGCUGGUGGAGGAGGCCACGUGGGUGCUACCCUGGACACGACCAGAGAUGAGCAAGGACCAGGAGGAAGAGAAUGGAGAGGGCCCCUGCCCCUCAGCUUCCUGAUAAAGAGAAUGGGAAUUGUGUCCUUUACAAGUUGAGGGACCUCAACCUGACGGGGCUCACGCUCCGCUCUGUGGGUCAAGCUUAGAACCUGAAACGUCCCAACCACCCUCUUCAAGGUCCUUCUGGCUCCCAACCCCCACCCCCCGGACGCCUGCAAGCCACCACAUGUUCACCUAUUGCACAUUUAU
This 350-nucleotide long non-coding RNA is filed under the name Homo sapiens (human). Its description in RNAcentral is "HSALNT0226603". Lineage: Eukaryota; Metazoa; Chordata; Mammalia; Primates; Hominidae. The record is from RNAcentral.